Molecule: long non-coding RNA, 223 nt
Filed under: Elaeis guineensis (African oil palm)
Lineage: Eukaryota; Viridiplantae; Streptophyta; Magnoliopsida; Arecales; Arecaceae
Description: long non-coding RNA (EGUI_LNC050128)
Source: RNAcentral
UGUACAUAGUGAUGAAAAAAUUAAAUAAUAUUUAUUAAUUCAACCAUUCAUAUACAAUUAUAAUAAUAAGCUCAACCAUCAACAGGCUGACGAUUGACUUUAGGACAUAAUUUUUAACAACUCUCACUUGGACUAAAGCCAAUCGGUACAGUAUCGUAUACCCAUCUUUGAUUUGUAGUCUUAGAACUCCUUGACAUCGAGGGCUUUAGUAAAUGGGUCGGCC